This 125-nucleotide microRNA precursor is filed under the name Vicugna pacos (alpaca). Its description in RNAcentral is "miRNA (ENSVPAG00000016929.1)". Lineage: Eukaryota; Metazoa; Chordata; Mammalia; Artiodactyla; Camelidae. The record is from RNAcentral.
AAAUUAUUUGCAUAAUUUAAGAUGCUCAAUCUUCAAAACUUUUUUUAAAAGGAACAGAAUGUAGAGAUAGCUGCAAUUUCACUUCAGAGAACCAAAAGGAUAGCUAUGUGGGUUGUUCCUAUUAU